UGGCUCCUUGCAUUCCCUAGAUCCUUCUCAGGACUCCUGAGCUCUCUGCAGAGGAACGUGGUGGCCUGGGAAGGUGCACGUGUUGGAACAAAAGAGCCACAAGAGGAGUAGGGAUCAGGGUCAGACCUGGUGACAGGUCUAGACUGGAAUCAGUGCUCAGUGGACCCAAGGAUCUUCCCAGAAUUCAUUAGCAUCAUCCCCACCACAGCCGUAAUGUUUUCGCUAAUAUUAUUUCUUAUCAGCUGUAAAAAUCACCAUUGCACCACUGCAAGAAAAAGAAACCGAGGCACGUUCAAGAUCCUGUCUGAAGAUAUCCCUCAGUAAUGGUGGAGCAGGGGAGAGCCCGGCAGGCUGAUUUCGGGGCCUGAGAAUACAGAUAUUAUGCUUUCAUUUAAAAUGCUGCAUUAUCAAGUGCUCCAGUCUCACCCACUCAGAAAAAAUGAAACCAUCAAUGCCAGGGACAGCAUACUGACCAGGCAGGAGGCAGAGGCUCGGCCUUUGACAUACUUUCUCCCUCUGCUCACCCUGCUGGCCUGGCCACUGUUCUCUGUGCCAGCAGACUGGAGGAAAAUUUUCCAAGCGGGAAGAGAGAUCGAUGUUCUGCAGGGGAAGUUCAAGCAUCUCCUUCCCUUCCCUGCUGUAAGACUGGCAGAUCCCCUUUCCUGGGGGCUUUCGGUAGAGGUGGGACAAUUAGGAGGACCUGAGCCUAAUCCCUUGGCCACAACAGGUGCCAGACAGGUCCCGUGGGUUCAGGGAGGCUGAGGCAGGCAGGCUCCCACAAGAGGGCAGUCGCUGUGUGGGGCAGACCCCUGGCAACUCAAGCUCUGAAGUUGUCUUUCGAGCCUAUGUGUGCCAGCCUUACCCUGCUCCUGGGCUCCUCGCAGGCAGGGGCUGAGCCUUUUCAAUUUGAUUCUCUCUGUAUCUAGCCUAGUGCUUGGAACCUAAUAAGCAGGAA
Long non-coding RNA from Chinchilla lanigera (long-tailed chinchilla), 955 nucleotides. RefSeq lists it as uncharacterized. The record is from RefSeq and is a predicted model, not a curated record. The transcript has 3 exons. NCBI's taxonomy places the organism in Eukaryota, Metazoa, Chordata, Mammalia, Rodentia, Chinchillidae.